RNAcentral lists this microRNA (24 nucleotides) under Oryza sativa (Asian cultivated rice). RNAcentral describes it as "osa-miR1874-3p". RNAcentral also lists the same sequence under 1 other name. Lineage: Eukaryota; Viridiplantae; Streptophyta; Magnoliopsida; Poales; Poaceae. The record is from miRBase by way of RNAcentral.
UAUGGAUGGAGGUGUAACCCGAUG